GGGUUGUGAGGUUAAGCGACUAAGCGUACACGGUGGAUGCCCUGGCAGUCAGAGGCGAUGAAGGACGUGCUAAUCUGCGAUAAGCGUCGGUAAGGUGAUAUGAACCGUUAUAACCGGCGAUUUCCGAAUGGGGAAACCCAGUGUGUUUCGACACACUAUCAUUAACUGAAUCCAUAGGUUAAUGAGGCGAACCGGGGGAACUGAAACAUCUAAGUACCCCGAGGAAAAGAAAUCAACCGAGAUUCCCCCAGUAGCGGCGAGCGAACGGGGAGCAGCCCAGAGCCUGAAUCAGUAUGUGUGUUAGUGGAAGCGUCUGGAAAGGCGCGCGAUACAGGGUGACAGCCCCGUACACAAAAAUGCACAUAUUGUGAGCUCGAUGAGUAGGGCGGGACACGUGGUAUCCUGUCUGAAUAUGGGGGGACCAUCCUCCAAGGCUAAAUACUCCUGACUGACCGAUAGUGAACCAGUACCGUGAGGGAAAGGCGAAAAGAACCCCGGCGAGGGGAGUGAAAAAGAACCUGAAACCGUGUACGUACAAGCAGUGGGAGCACGCUUAGGCGUGUGACUGCGUACCUUUUGUAUAAUGGGUCAGCGACUUAUAUUCUGUAGCAAGGUUAACCGAAUAGGGGAGCCGAAGGGAAACCGAGUCUUAACUGGGCGUUAAGUUGCAGGGUAUAGACCCGAAACCCGGUGAUCUAGCCAUGGGCAGGUUGAAGGUUGGGUAACACUAACUGGAGGACCGAACCGACUAAUGUUGAAAAAUUAGCGGAUGACUUGUGGCUGGGGGUGAAAGGCCAAUCAAACCGGGAGAUAGCUGGUUCUCCCCGAAAGCUAUUUAGGUAGCGCCUCGUGAAUUCAUCUCCGGGGGUAGAGCACUGUUUCGGCAAGGGGGUCAUCCCGACUUACCAACCCGAUGCAAACUGCGAAUACCGGAGAAUGUUAUCACGGGAGACACACGGCGGGUGCUAACGUCCGUCGUGAAGAGGGAAACAACCCAGACCGCCAGCUAAGGUCCCAAAGUCAUGGUUAAGUGGGAAACGAUGUGGGAAGGCCCAGACAGCCAGGAUGUUGGCUUAGAAGCAGCCAUCAUUUAAAGAAAGCGUAAUAGCUCACUGGUCGAGUCGGCCUGCGCGGAAGAUGUAACGGGGCUAAACCAUGCACCGAAGCUGCGGCAGCGACACUAUGUGUUGUUGGGUAGGGGAGCGUUCUGUAAGCCUGUGAAGGUGUGCUGUGAGGCAUGCUGGAGGUAUCAGAAGUGCGAAUGCUGACAUAAGUAACGAUAAAGCGGGUGAAAAGCCCGCUCGCCGGAAGACCAAGGGUUCCUGUCCAACGUUAAUCGGGGCAGGGUGAGUCGACCCCUAAGGCGAGGCCGAAAGGCGUAGUCGAUGGGAAACAGGUUAAUAUUCCUGUACUUGGUGUUACUGCGAAGGGGGGACGGAGAAGGCUAUGUUGGCCGGGCGACGGUUGUCCCGGUUUAAGCGUGUAGGCUGGUUUUCCAGGCAAAUCCGGAAAAUCAAGGCUGAGGCGUGAUGACGAGGCACUACGGUGCUGAAGCAACAAAUGCCCUGCUUCCAGGAAAAGCCUCUAAGCAUCAGGUAACAUCAAAUCGUACCCCAAACCGACACAGGUGGUCAGGUAGAGAAUACCAAGGCGCUUGAGAGAACUCGGGUGAAGGAACUAGGCAAAAUGGUGCCGUAACUUCGGGAGAAGGCACGCUGAUAUGUAGGUGAAGUCCCUCGCGGAUGGAGCUGAAAUCAGUCGAAGAUACCAGCUGGCUGCAACUGUUUAUUAAAAACACAGCACUGUGCAAACACGAAAGUGGACGUAUACGGUGUGACGCCUGCCCGGUGCCGGAAGGUUAAUUGAUGGGGUUAGCCGCAAGGCGAAGCUCUUGAUCGAAGCCCCGGUAAACGGCGGCCGUAACUAUAACGGUCCUAAGGUAGCGAAAUUCCUUGUCGGGUAAGUUCCGACCUGCACGAAUGGCGUAAUGAUGGCCAGGCUGUCUCCACCCGAGACUCAGUGAAAUUGAACUCGCUGUGAAGAUGCAGUGUACCCGCGGCAAGACGGAAAGACCCCGUGAACCUUUACUAUAGCUUGACACUGAACAUUGAGCCUUGAUGUGUAGGAUAGGUGGGAGGCUUUGAAGUGUGGACGCCAGUCUGCAUGGAGCCGACCUUGAAAUACCACCCUUUAAUGUUUGAUGUUCUAACGUUGACCCGUAAUCCGGGUUGCGGACAGUGUCUGGUGGGUAGUUUGACUGGGGCGGUCUCCUCCUAAAGAGUAACGGAGGAGCACGAAGGUUGGCUAAUCCUGGUCGGACAUCAGGAGGUUAGUGCAAUGGCAUAAGCCAGCUUGACUGCGAGCGUGACGGCGCGAGCAGGUGCGAAAGCAGGUCAUAGUGAUCCGGUGGUUCUGAAUGGAAGGGCCAUCGCUCAACGGAUAAAAGGUACUCCGGGGAUAACAGGCUGAUACCGCCCAAGAGUUCAUAUCGACGGCGGUGUUUGGCACCUCGAUGUCGGCUCAUCACAUCCUGGGGCUGAAGUAGGUCCCAAGGGUAUGGCUGUUCGCCAUUUAAAGUGGUACGCGAGCUGGGUUUAGAACGUCGUGAGACAGUUCGGUCCCUAUCUGCCGUGGGCGCUGGAGAACUGAGGGGGGCUGCUCCUAGUACGAGAGGACCGGAGUGGACGCAUCACUGGUGUUCGGGUUGUCAUGCCAAUGGCACUGCCCGGUAGCUAAAUGCGGAAGAGAUAAGUGCUGAAAGCAUCUAAGCACGAAACUUGCCCCGAGAUGAGUUCUCCCUGACUCCUUGAGAGUCCUGAAGGAACGUUGAAGACGACGACGUUGAUAGGCCGGGUGUGUAAGCGCAGCGAUGCGUUGAGCUAACCGGUACUAAUGAACCGUGAGGCUUAACCUUACAACGCCGAAGGUGUUU
Molecule: ribosomal RNA, 2932 nt
Filed under: Escherichia coli
Lineage: Bacteria; Pseudomonadati; Pseudomonadota; Gammaproteobacteria; Enterobacterales; Enterobacteriaceae
Also listed under: 1 other name
Description: bacterial LSU rRNA
Rfam family: Bacterial large subunit ribosomal RNA
Source: RNAcentral